This is a long non-coding RNA of Oxyura jamaicensis (ruddy duck), 2706 nucleotides long. RefSeq lists it as uncharacterized. The record is from RefSeq and is a predicted model, not a curated record. Lineage: Eukaryota; Metazoa; Chordata; Aves; Anseriformes; Anatidae. The transcript is spliced from 2 exons.
UUCAACCUGCUUUGCCCCUUUUAACUCCGUGCUUAAUUUAUUCUGUAUUAUUUAUAGGCAGGUAGGUUUGCACAUUCAUAAAACGUUCAGUUUCCUGUUAUGUCUAGAGAACUGGUAGGAGGUAUGGCAAAUAUAUUCGUAGCAGCUCAAAUCCCCUGUGUGGUUUCCAUUGAGUGAAAUAUUCAUCACUUCCUGUCCUAAACUCAGUGAAGCACUGCCAAUGUUUUAACAAGGGGCUCCCACAGAAAUGUCUCCCUCUUCUCUCUUUUUACCUCUGCCUAUGUCUUUCUUUCCUUCCUGCCAUCCAUUCACCUAUUCACCCAUCCAUCCAUCAGUCUCUGAAGGGGUCAGUCAUCACUUAUCCCCACUAAAGCCAGGUAAGCGGUGUUGCUCGAGAGAGUUCCAGUCCAUGUUUAUGCAGUUGCAGGUGGAAGAAACGGAAAGAGGGUCCCUUCUACCUCCUUUCUUCUGGGGAACCUGAGCAAGAACCCCACUUUCAGCCAUUUUCUCGUGCACUUGUUGAAAAUGAAGAGGAAUGUUGCUGGGACAUGCUAAAGAGAGCUGCCAUUUGCUUUGGAGGUACCUUCAGACCAAGGUCCAGGAGCCAUCAGUCGUCCUAGAUAACAUCUCAGACAUUGAGAAGGUCAUCACUGAGGCAGUCAGGAAUAGGUUUUUCCCUACUUUUCACAGUGCCUAACCUGUUGGGCUGCACGGCCUCCUGUGACACUCUCUGUAAUCGAAUCCCACUCGAGCUAUUUUCUCUGCUCAGUGUGGGAAAAUUCCGUACCAUAAUGACGGUUAAUAAUAGAAAGUUCUUAUUUUAUUUGAAAGUUUGCCGAAGAGCAACAGAACCAUUUCCGAUCCUCUUUUCUGAGAAUAUGAUUCCCUCAAUCAUGUAUUAUUAUUCUGGGAGGGGGAGGCACUGGGGGAACAGGAGGGGGGCAUAGGCCUUCGGCAAUGAAUGGCUGGGCUUCUGAAAUAAAUGAUUGUCACCUCCUUGUUCAUAUGCAUGAAUCAGCGGCGCCUGUCCAGAUGCGGAGGGGAGCCAACACACCCCGUGCACCAUCCCUUGCAGAGCUUCGAGCUGCUUAAAUUUAAUUUAGUUUCCUUUUCCUUACACAGUUGUACUAAGAAGCCACAAUAGAAGCAAAGAGGAAAUCAAAUCUGGAAAAUAUGCAUUCAUCUUGAAAGGCAUCAGAAAUGUGUUGACAAUACAAUAAAACACGCACGUGAAAAAGCAACAUCGAUAGGCCUCCUCAAAUUCUUCUACUCAGUAAUCCCAGCUUAGAUCAGAUUGUCUGGCAACCUCUUUGAAAGUUGUAAUACCUCUUCCAUGAAUAAACAGGCAUGGUUUAGAUGCCAGCUCUCUGCAUGGUGAGAUUUCCUACUUUUUCUUCUUAAUUUCAAUCAGAAUUGUGGUGCUCUGCUUAUAAAGACCAUCUUUUGGAAUUGGAUACCUAAAGCCCCCAAAUUUGUUGAACUUCCGUAAGAUUUGACUAGUACAAAGAGCAGUGGACAGAUGGAACGAUACGUAAAUAUUAUGAAGGGAACAAUGACUUGAUGAUUAGAUGUUUAGAAGUAUAUAUAUUUCUCUCUAUAUAGGAGAGAUAGGUGCUCUGGCUAGAAGAAUAGCUGGCUAGAAUGAAAGGGGAUGGAGAGCUCCAUAAAUCUGACUUUGUAGAAAGCUUCAGGCAGAUUAAACGCUUGUGUGCUAGGAAAGCACUGUGUCUUGAAAUUAGUAAGACAAUAAGAACAAAAGCACUUCCUCCGGUGUGUUUUCUGUCCCCUCAGUUAGGUGGAUCCUCACAAAAUACUUUCUGUAUCAACUUCAACUUUAUCCAUACAUUUUUGAUCUACUCAAUGUCUUCAUGGACAAAAUGAGGAAGAGAAAAUGUAUUUGGACAUCCCUCUGAGCUAAAAAUAGCAUCUAACACUGUUAUCUAUUUUGGGUGAAGAAAGAAGGAAGAUUACCUCAGGUACCCUUACAGAGAAGAUAGGUGAGGGAAUUUACCUCUGCAAAAUUCUUCAACGAGCUCAAAUGAUGGGCGAGUCGAACAUUUUAUUUUCAAGUAGCAGUUUAAUGACUUUUCCUACUUGAUCUGUGAAAAGCAAGCAAUAAAAGCCAAUUCAGGCAUGUGUUGUCUCCAGACAGCGUGCCAGAGGGAUGCUGCAUUUCCUUACAAUCAUUUCCUCCUUAAAUGACUGACACCUCUGUGGGAGUGUUUAUAGAGAUCCGAAAUGGCAAGAGGCUGAAAGGCACUGACUUAGAACACACACCUAAGCCUCUAUCUGCACUGGAAGCUACGGUGAGCCUCUUGCAACCCAGACAAUAUACACCACCAAUCUCUUUGGCCAGUACCCAGCUUGGAUGUGGGGAACUCCUGGAGUUGGUGAGCUUUCUGCAGUGGGUAUGAAGUUAUUCUUUCAUUCUAUGCCUGAGCUCAGAAAAGAUAAAUGAAGAGUUUUUUUUUUUUUUUUUUUUUUUUUUUUUCCCAAAUGAAGCAGCCAGGAACUGAAAUUCUUCUUUUUAAGGACUCCUCAUGGGAGGAGACAACUGAAGUGCUGUAGAGAAGCCAGGACUUCCAGACUUCAGGGAAAACUGAGAGUGCUCAGUUCCAGGUUGCUGUAAUGGUUUAAUGGUUGCUGGGACAGGCAGGAGGAACAAGCUCCUUUCUGGUCUUACCCAUAUCGCAGAAUCACAAAAAA